Molecule: non-coding RNA, 113 nt
Organism: Pelobates cultripes (western spadefoot toad)
Lineage: Eukaryota; Metazoa; Chordata; Amphibia; Anura; Pelobatidae
Source: the annotation of a GenBank genome assembly
GCCUACGGCCAUACCAGUCUGAAAGUGCCUGAUCUCGUCAGAUCUCAGAAGUCAUGCAGGCUUGGCCUGCUUAGUGCUGUAUGGAACUAGGAACCUCUCAGGUGCCGUAGGGA